AUUGAACGCUGGCGGCAUGCCUUACACAUGCAAGUCGAACGGCAGCACGGGAGCAAUCCUGGUGGCGAGUGGCGAACGGGUGAGUAAUAUAUCGGAACGUGCCCAGUCGUGGGGGAUAACGCAGCGAAAGCUGUGCUAAUACCGCAUACGAUCUAAGGAUGAAAGCGGGGGAUCGCAAGACCUCGCGCGAUUGGAGAGGCCGAUAUCAGAUUAGCUAGUUGGUGGGGUAAAGGCCCACCAAGGCGACGAUCUGUAGCUGGUCUGAGAGGACGACCAGCCACACUGGAACUGAGACACGGUCCAGACUCCUACGGGAGGCAGCAGUGGGGAAUUUUGGACAAUGGGCGCAAGCCUGAUCCAGCAAUGCCGCGUGCAGGAUGAAGGCCUUCGGGUUGUAAACUGCCUUUGUACGGAACGAAACGGCCCUUUCUAAUACAGGGGGCUAAUGACGGUACCGUAAGAAUAAGCACCGGCUAACUACGUGCCAGCCGCCGCGGUAA
RNAcentral lists this ribosomal RNA (500 nucleotides) under uncultured bacterium. RNAcentral's name for it is "partial 16S ribosomal RNA". It matches the Rfam family "Bacterial small subunit ribosomal RNA", at positions 30 to 523 of the family's 1533-position model. The record is from RNAcentral.